Hibiscus syriacus is the source of this 413-nucleotide long non-coding RNA. RefSeq lists it as uncharacterized. Lineage: Eukaryota; Viridiplantae; Streptophyta; Magnoliopsida; Malvales; Malvaceae. The transcript has 3 exons. The record is from RefSeq and is a predicted model, not a curated record.
UGCCCCUUUGGAGAAGAUUAGAUCUGUCUGGAAGUGAAAGUGAGGACUCUGAAUAUUUUGAUAUCUCAUUUGGGGGCGAACCUGAAAUGGAACUACUGUCAUUAUUAUACAUAAUGUUAUUGCCGGAUGAUACAUGCCAUAAGUUGGAUAUGACCAUUUGCACUAAAGAUAAGAAAAAGUUUGUAGUGUCCUCUUAGCACUUGCCGACAUUCGCGAGAGUUGUUAUGGUUUGAAGUCGAUAGAUGAGGAUAUGGAAGCUCUAAAGAGAUGUUGCAUGAAAGAAAGGAAAUUGUAUCAUUCUUUGGUAUUAAGAAUAAGUGAGAGGAUGAUCCUUGAGAAGCUUAGGACUCACGCUACAGCAGGAGCUCGUCGAAGUCGAACAUUUCAGAAUGCAAAUAAAACCUCUGCAAGAA